GCCAGGUGUGGUGGUGCACACCUGUUGUCCCAGCUACUGGGAGGCUGAGGCAGGAGAAUCACUUGAACCUGGGAGGCGGAGGUUGCAGUGAGCCGAGAUCACACCACUGCACUUCCAGCCUGGGUGACAGAGCGAGACUCUGUCUCAG
Molecule: non-coding RNA, 148 nt
Filed under: Homo sapiens (human)
Lineage: Eukaryota; Metazoa; Chordata; Mammalia; Primates; Hominidae
Source: Rfam by way of RNAcentral